AUUGAACGCUGGCGGCAGGCCUAACACAUGCAAGUCGAGCGGAUGAAGGGAGCUUGCUCCUGGAUUCAGCGGCGGACGGGUGAGUAAUGCCUAGGAAUCUGCCUGGUAGUGGGGGAUAACGUCCGGAAACGGGCGCUAAUACCGCAUACGUCCUGAGGGAGAAAGUGGGGGAUCUUCGGACCUCACGCUAUCAGAUGAGCCUAGGUCGGAUUAGCUAGUUGGUGGGGUAAAGGCCUACCAAGGCGACGAUCCGUAACUGGUCUGAGAGGAUGAUCAGUCACACUGGAACUGAGAAACGGUCCAGACUCCUACGGGAGGCAGCAGUGGGGAAUAUUGGACAAUGGGCGGAAGCCUGAUCCAGCCAUGCCGCGUGUGUGAAGAAGGUCUUCGGAUUGUAAAGCACUUUAAGUUGGGAGGAAGGGCAGUAAGUUAAUACCUUGCUGUUUUGACGUUACCAACAGAAUAAGCACCGGCUAACUUCGUG
Molecule: ribosomal RNA, 484 nt
Filed under: uncultured bacterium
Lineage: Bacteria
Description: partial 16S ribosomal RNA
Rfam family: Bacterial small subunit ribosomal RNA
Source: RNAcentral